RNAcentral lists this ribosomal RNA (253 nucleotides) under uncultured bacterium. RNAcentral's name for it is "partial 16S ribosomal RNA". It matches the Rfam family "Bacterial small subunit ribosomal RNA", at positions 524 to 776 of the family's 1533-position model. The record is from RNAcentral.
UACGUAGGGUGCGAGCGUUGUCCGGAAUUAUUGGGCGUAAAGGGCUCGUAGGCGGUUUGUCGCGUCGGGAGUGAAAACCUCGGGCUUAACUCGGGGCUUGCUUUCGAUACGGGCAGACUGGAGGUAUGCAGGGGAGAACGGAAUUCCUGGUGUAGCGGUGAAAUGCGCAGAUAUCAGGAGGAACACCGGUGGCGAAGGCGGUUCUCUGGGCAUGACCUGACGCUAAGGAGCGAAAGUGUGGGGAGCGAACAGG